Molecule: ribosomal RNA, 1538 nt
Filed under: Shewanella putrefaciens
Lineage: Bacteria; Pseudomonadati; Pseudomonadota; Gammaproteobacteria; Alteromonadales; Shewanellaceae
Description: 16S ribosomal RNA
Source: RNAcentral
AUUAUAACAAGUGUUCAUCUCACCAUCGGCAAACCAGUGAUAAAACGGUGCCUGCGAUUCAUCGAGCACCGUUUGCGCCGGCUUAAUCCAAUCGAGCGUCUUCGCCGCUUCUCCCCAGAAUUCGGCUUUAUUAAGCAAGGAUGCUUGGUGCAACGCUUGAUGUUUUUGUUGGUUCUGUUUUUGAUUUGUGGCUUGCGCUACAGAUGCAUUUUGCUGUUCGGUCAACAUAUGUCCUCCAAUCAGGACUGCGGCUUUAAUUAGCAGCCGCAAUAACGACAACUACCCCUUCCUUCCUGCUUCUAUUAUUAGCAAGGAGACCUCAAGCCCACUAUUAGACGUUAGCCUAUAACCAGAAGGUAUUUGUGGUUUUAUGAGCUUUAAAUCCAGCCGCACAGGCCGAUGGCAAUUGGGAUUGACACUUUUUUGCCAACAGAAUAAAAGUCAAAAUCUUUACCUUUACGUAAACUUCAUAUAUCUUGCUUAAAACUGAUUAUUUAGGGUACAUGAAUGAGCGCAACACACACAGCACAAACAACGUACUCGAUUAGUGAUCUCUCAAAAGAAUUUGAUAUCACCACACGGAGCAUUCGUUUCUACGAAGACCAAGGCUUGCUUAAGCCAAAACGUCGCGGUCAAACCCGUAUUUACAGUCUUAAGGACAGGGUUCGACUCAAACUUAUUCUGCGCGGCAAGCGCCUUGGGUUCUCCCUUGCGGAGACCCGACGCCUGUUCGAACUUUACGAUGCCGAUAAGAGCAGCACCACUCAGCUCAAUACCAUGCUUGCCCUCGUGGAAGAGAAAAAAUCCGCCCUGCAGCAGCAAAUGGACGACAUCAAAGUGGUACUGAUGGAGCUAAAUUCGGCCGAGCAGCAAUGCCGCCUCGCCCUUGAAGAAAGCAAGACCAAGGCCUAAUGCCUUCGAGCUUGCGAGCAUAGCAUUAACGAACACCUUAGUUGGUACGACCGCGUGACAGGGAUACAUCACGCUAAGCAAGACAGUUUUAAAGACUCAAGCACCUAAUAAUCAUAACAAUAUAAAUUAGAACAUCUGAAAGGACACAAGCAAUGAACUCACUCUACACCAGUCUUAAUUUUGGCCUAGGCGAAGAUGUCGAUAUGCUGCGCGAUGCAGUGCAGGAUUUUGCCGCGAAUGAAAUCGCACCGAUUGCCGCGAAAGUGGAUCACGACAAUGCCUUUCCCAAUGAACUUUGGCCUGUGCUUGGAGGUAUGGGACUGCUCGGCGUAACAGUACCCGAAGAGUUCGGCGGCGCGAACAUGGGCUACCUUGCCCACGUCGUCGCAAUGGAAGAAAUUUCCCGCGCCUCGGCCUCUAUCGGCUUAAGUUACGGCGCCCACUCCAAUCUGUGCGUAAACCAAAUUAACCGUAACGGUAAUGCCGCACAAAAAGCCAAAUACUUACCAAAGCUCGUCAGCGGUGAGCAUAUUGGCGCACUGGCAAUGAGUGAACCCAAUGCGGGUUCUGAUGUGGUUUCAAUGAAGCUGCACGCCCGUAAAGAAGGCGACCGUUAUAUCCUUAAU